Molecule: ribosomal RNA, 486 nt
Filed under: uncultured bacterium
Lineage: Bacteria
Description: partial 16S ribosomal RNA
Rfam family: Bacterial small subunit ribosomal RNA
Source: RNAcentral
GAUGAACGCUGGCGGCGUGCCUAAUACAUGCAAGUCGAACGCUGGAAAUCUAGCUUGCUAGAUUGAAGGAGUGGCGAACGGGUGAGUAAUACAUAAGCAACCUACCCACGAAGACUGGGAUAAUCUCUGGAAACGGGGACUAAUACCGGAUAGGUAAUCGGAAGGCAUCUUCUGAUUAUUAAAGGUUAAAAACACUGGUGGAUGGGCUUAUGGCGCAUUAGUUAGUUGGUGAGGUAACGGCCCACCAAGACGAUGAUGCGUAGCCGGCCUGAGAGGGUGAACGGCCACAUUGGGACUGAGACACGGCCCAGACUCCUACGGGAGGCAGCAGUAGGGAAUUUUCGGCAAUGGGGGAAACCCUGACCGAGCAACGCCGCGUGAGUGAUGACGGCCUUCGGGUUGUAAAGCUCUGUUGUAAGGGAAGAACGGUAGGUAGAGAAUAUCUAAAUGACGGUACCUUACCAGAAAGCCACGGCUAACUACGUG